Molecule: long non-coding RNA, 2824 nt
Organism: Oncorhynchus tshawytscha (Chinook salmon)
Lineage: Eukaryota; Metazoa; Chordata; Actinopteri; Salmoniformes; Salmonidae
Source: Ensembl
GUCGGUGGGUCGGUGGGAGCCACAGAAAGAGAAACAGACAUGUGUUAUCUGGGUGCGUAGCCAGUGACUCAUAAACUGGGUCAGAGGGUAAAGGUGAAGGGUCAAACAUCCCUAGACAACCCCCCCCCAACACACACACACAGCCAGUCCGCAGCAGAGCCAGAGAGAGAUAGGAGAUCCAUGUCACACCUGCUGAUGUAAGACUCUUAUCUGUGCUGCGUCUGCACAGAUUUGAAUACAUGUUUGAAUGUAGCCUUGAUUUAACUACACAGAUAAUACUGUGUGUGGGGAGUUGUCUGGUUUAGUCACUUUAACAGGACUGUCUCUACUGAGGGACCUACUGAUAAGGACUAAUGGAGAGGGGGAGAAAGAAGGAGAGAGUGGGGAGAGAGAGGGGGGAGGCAGAGAAUCUGUUUGUGUCUCGGUCUGUGUAAGAAUAUGUUUGCAUUAUUAGGUUGAAUAAGGUGCUAUAAGGCUGAAUAAGGCAUUGUAAGGCUGAAUAAGGUGCUAUAAGGCUGAAUAAGGCAUUGUAAGGCUGAAUAAGGCAUUGUAAGGCUGAAUAAGGCAUUAUAUGGCUGAAUAAGGCAUUGUAAGGCUGAAUAAGGCCCUAUAAUGCUGAAUAAGGCAUUAUAAGGCAGAAUAAGGCACUAUAAGGCUGAAUAAGGCAUUAUUAGGCUUUAUUAAAAAAGCAGAGAAUAGCAACCACUGUGGUGAGACAAAAGGCGUUCAAAUCCCUUGAGAUACUGUUGUCUUUCUAUAGUCCAGAUACUGGAGAAUACAUCCAACAACAACAACGACAAAGACAACAACAACAACACAGUAAAAUCCCAAUCAGAAACCGUCCUGAUCAAAAGAAUAACAUAAAAACACAUGACUGAAGCAGAUGAUGCUCAGUGGUCAAAACAGAACAGGUCUAUAGAGGCCCAGUCCAGGAGGAGCGCUUCUCAUAAACAAUCUCCAAUCAGAAACCCAUUAUGGGUCAAUUAUUACCUCACAGAGAGAGAGAGAGGUCAUCAGAACACUUAUUAAGAACAUGUACGUGUUCCGCUGAUACAAAAACAAUCCAUGGCCCGGGUCCAUAGAACAGGUCUCCCCAUUAUGACGGCAUGAUGGGUGGACUGGCGGCCAAUGUGAGAGGACCCACGAGUCAAAUGACCAGGGUUAAAGGUUCCGAGACUGUUCUAGUCAUUCUAUUUCUGUUUCCACCUCUCUGAUCCCUCCCAACAUGCCUCAGGAUUCCACUACUAAACAUAGAACUAGAACGGCUGCCUGUCUGCCCAUUAUGACGCCGUUGACAUGAAUAGGGAGGCCCGUUCUACUCCUUCUACAUUCCUCUGUUUACAAAUGUACAUGAGAUAUAUAUCGUCAUGGUAACAAAAUGCAUAGUCUGUCUUCAAUACAGUAGGAUGUUGGGUUUAAAGUCCCCCAAUGGGAUUUCUGGAAGCAUAUUCAUAAAGAAUGUCAGUGUAAGAGUGCUGAUUUAGGAUCAGUUUGUCCGUUUAGAUUAUAAUGAAUAAGAGAGGGCACCUGAUCCUAGACCAGCAGCCCUAUUCUGAGACCUGCUUUAUGUACACAGUCCCUGGUGCUUCAGACAGCAAAGUGCUUGGUCACCAUCCAACUCCAAGUCAUUAUUACUGUUGUCUGAUUGACAGCUGUCUGAUGGAAUAACAAGAUAAGACUGAAAAGUUAUAAACAAUCAACUGCUUAAACAACGAGCAGUAAAACACCACUUCACUGGUCUGAGAUCCGGAGUCUGUUGACGUUAUUAUUAUGCUUUUUUAAAUCCACAAUAAACCUUAAUAUUGGGAAGAAUAUUGAAAAGGAAAACAAAAAAACAGUACACAGUUUGUAUAUCCUUCAGCCUCCAAGAUGCAGGAAGAGGAAUGUUGAACACCAAAGAGGAGGUAGAACCAUUCUCCUUCAGCCUCCAAGAUGCAGGAAGAGGAAUGUUGAACACCAAAGAGGAGGUAGAACCAUUCUCCUUCAGCCUCCAAGAUGCAGGAAGAGGAAUGUUGAACACCAAAGAGGAGGGGGAAAAAUGUACAACUUCUACUCACAAAAUAGAUAGCCUGGUCCCAGAUCUGUUUGUGCUACCAUGCCAACUACAUCGCUGUCGUGGACGAGACAAACGUGACAUUGAGUUCGUGACAAGGAGUUGAUGACAGCACAAAAACAGACUGGAACUCAGGCUACAAAGCGGAGCGACACAACAGCCUUAAAACAGAGGCUCUCUGUUAGAGCUGCAACACACAGAGCCAUCUGCAAUCAGCAACUUCACAACAACGUCGCGCUCGUCUCUUCCCCCCACCAGGCCUCUCUGGGAGGGACUAGGGGUUAGAGGUCAAGGGUUAGAGGGCGUAAGGAUCCGGUGACGGAGAGAUCCAGUGUCGUCCCACGAGGUGCCCCAUGAGGCCCUAGGAACCCCAAAACGAUCCGACUCCAUCCCUGUGACACCAUGCAGGACAUGAGAGCUGGAGAAAGGCGUUCUAUGGUCAGAAGGCACCGUAUCAUGACAUCAUCAUUCUGGAACCAUACAGAGGGAGGCUAUUGGCUGUUUCUCCUGUUCUCUCCUCUGUCUAUCCAUUCAUCAAUAUCUCUAGUCUCUAUUCUCCACUUCUCUCCUCUGUCUAUCGCCCUCUUCUGUGUCUUUGCUCCAUCUCUCGUCUUCUCCCCAAUUUCCGUGUCUCUGGACUGGUGGGGUCAGUACCUCAGUACCAGGUCAGGGCUGAACACCACGGAGUGUCUGGGUAUAAGACACAAUGGACAGACCUGAACCUGAGAGAGAGAGAGAGAGAGAGAGAGAGAGAGAGAUGAGAGAGAGAGA